UACGAAGGUGGCAAGCGUUACUCGGAAUUACUAGGCGUAAAGGGCAGGUAGGUGGUUUGAUAAGUCUAUUGUGUCAGCUCCCGGCUUAACUGGGAGAGGUCAAUGGAUACUGUUAAACUUGAGUGUAGGAGAGGGUACUGGAAUUCCCGGUGUAGCGGUGAAAUGCGCAGAGAUCGGGAGGAACACCAAUGGCGAAAGCAGGUACCUGGACUAUUACUGACACUGAGCUGCGAAAGCUAGGGGAGCAAAC
Molecule: ribosomal RNA, 250 nt
Filed under: uncultured bacterium
Lineage: Bacteria
Description: partial 16S ribosomal RNA
Rfam family: Bacterial small subunit ribosomal RNA
Source: RNAcentral